GUAUUCAGCCACUCUGGCCUGGGUGCCCUGUUCGCUGGUCCGGCAUCGGCUAGUUGGCGGGUGUCUCCUGAGUCUUGGUGGUGCACUUGCAAGUGGAGUGCGCUGAGGCCUGUGGGUCAGCGGUUGGAAGUGCGCUUUGAGGAUACCUUUCGGGGUAAAACCCGGGCGUGCCUAAGACUGUUUGGCCUGCUUGUACAAUGAGCGAGGCCAACGGGUUUGGCUGGGGCUGAGCUGGUUGUCGGUUACGGUCGCAUGCGACACGUGUUGGUGGCUGGUUUUGUCUGGGUCUGGCUCCCUCGCUCGCCCUCGGUGUAAAAGCUAGUCAUCUAUCCGACCCGUCUUGAAACACGGACCAAGGAGUUUAGCGUAUGCGCGAGUCAUUGAGUGAAAAACUCAAAGGCGCAAUGAAAGUAAAGGCAUCCCUUGUGGAGCUGAUAUGCGACCUCGGGUGCUUCGGUGCCCGGGAGCAGCAUAGCCCCGUCCCGAUCGCUUGCGAUGGGGCGGAGGUAGAGCGUGUACGCUGAGACCCGAAAGAUGGUGAACUAUUCCUGAGCAGGAUGAAGCCAGUGGAAA
RNAcentral lists this ribosomal RNA (573 nucleotides) under Pratylenchoides riparius. RNAcentral's name for it is "partial 28S ribosomal RNA". It matches the Rfam family "Eukaryotic large subunit ribosomal RNA", at positions 597 to 861 of the family's 3401-position model. The record is from RNAcentral. Lineage: Eukaryota; Metazoa; Nematoda; Chromadorea; Rhabditida; Merliniidae.